CCUACGGGCGGCAGCAGUGGGGGAUAUUGCACAAUGGGGGGAACCCUGAUGCAGCGACGCCGCGUGGGUGAAGAAGCGCCUCGGCGCGUAAAGCCCUGUCAGCAGGGAAGAAAAUGACGGUACCUGAAGAAGAAGCCCCGGCUAACUACGUGCCAGCAGCCGCGGUAAUACGUAGGGGGCAAGCGUUAUCCGGAUUUACUGGGUGUAAAGGGGGCGCAGACGGCGAUGCAAGCCAGGAGGGAAAGCCGGGGGCCCAACCCCGGGACGGCUCUUGGAACUGCGUGGCUGGAGUGCAGGAGGGGCAGGCGGAAUUCCUGGUGUAGCGGUGAAAUGCGUAGAUAUCAGGAGGAACACCGGUGGCGAAGGCGGCCUGCUGGACUGCAACUGACGUUGAGGCCCGAAAGCGUGGGGAGCAAACAGGAUUAGAUACCCCGGUAGUC
Molecule: ribosomal RNA, 440 nt
Filed under: uncultured bacterium
Lineage: Bacteria
Description: partial 16S ribosomal RNA
Rfam family: Bacterial small subunit ribosomal RNA
Source: RNAcentral